GAUGAACGCUGGCGGCGUGCCUAAUACAUGCAAGUCGAGCGAACAGACGAGGAGCUUGCUCCUCUGACGUUAGCGGCGGACGGGUGAGUAACACGUGGAUAACCUACCUAUAAGACUGGGAUAACUUCGGGAAACCGGAGCUAAUACCGGAUAAUAUAUUGAACCGCAUGGUUCAAUAGUGAAAGACGGUUUUGCUGUCAAUUAUAGAUGGAUCCGCGCCGCAUUAGCUAGUUGGUAAGGUAACGGCUUACCAAGGCAACGAUGCGUAGCCGACCUGAGAGGGUGAUCGGCCACACUGGAACUGAGACACGGUCCAGACUCCUACGGGAGGCAGCAGUAGGGAAUCUUCCGCAAUGGGCGAAAGCCUGACGGAGCAACGCCGCGUGAGUGAUGAAGGUCUUCGGAUCGUAAAACCCUGUUAUUAGGGAAGAACAAAUGUGUAAGUAACUAUGCACGUCUUGACGGUACCUAAUCAGAAAGCCACGGCUAACUACGUG
Molecule: ribosomal RNA, 497 nt
Filed under: uncultured bacterium
Lineage: Bacteria
Description: partial 16S ribosomal RNA
Rfam family: Bacterial small subunit ribosomal RNA
Source: RNAcentral